UGAGGAAACUACAAGUACUGGAACCUUCCCAAAAUAAAGAAGCAUUAAAGGGCCAUAUUUGUGAGCUAAAUCUUGGAGUGAUCUGUGAGGGGACACACCAAUUUGAUGAAGAUUACCAAGUAUAGGAAAUCUUGGAGGUGAAGGUGGUAAGUUUUUUUGGGUGGCAGAAUUGUUGGAAUACCAUUUGAUGAUGAAAAGAAGUGAAAUGAAGAUUGGUAAGAUAGUGAAGAAAAGCAUAGGGAAUGAAGAGAAGAUUUCCUGUGAAAGAGAACUGUGUAGAAAGGUGGACAUGGCUUAACCUUUGGUUUCUGUUGAGCGAUAAAAACCACUCUCUUCCUUCUUAUAUAUCACUUGGUGGUAUGAUUUUAAUGGUU
Molecule: long non-coding RNA, 374 nt
Filed under: Medicago truncatula (barrel medic)
Lineage: Eukaryota; Viridiplantae; Streptophyta; Magnoliopsida; Fabales; Fabaceae
Description: lncRNA gene25039
Source: RNAcentral